RNAcentral lists this ribosomal RNA (303 nucleotides) under uncultured bacterium. RNAcentral's name for it is "partial 16S ribosomal RNA". It matches the Rfam family "Bacterial small subunit ribosomal RNA", at positions 507 to 807 of the family's 1533-position model. The record is from RNAcentral.
AGCAGCAGCCGCGGUAAUACGGAGGGUGCAAGCGUUAUCCGGAUUCACUGGGUUUAAAGGGUGCGUAGGCGGAUCUGUAAGUCAGUGGUGAAAUCUCCAGGCUUAACCUGGAAACUGCCGUUGAUACUAUAGGUCUUGAAUUUUGUGGAGGUUAGCGGAAUAUGUCAUGUAGCGGUGAAAUGCAUAGAUAUGACAUAGAACGCCAAUUGCGAAGGCAGCUGGCUACACAACUAUUGACGCUGAGGCACGAAAGCGUGGGGAUCAAACAGGAUUAGAUACCCCCGUAGUCCCUGUCUCUUAUAC